GGGGGUGUCCUGGCUUCGACAGGGAUGCAUGAGGUUUGGUUUGCGUGUCUGGGUUGAUCGACCGGCCCAGUAAAAAGUCGAUCAAAACAUAAUUGCUGAAUCUAAUGAUUUUGCUCCAGCAAUGGCCGCUUAGUCUCUGACUAGCCCAUAAACUGUGAGGGGUAUGCACCGAUAACAACAAGCAUGCGACCAAGUUGAAGUUACUUGUAAACUAGCUUCCUAGGAACUGUCGGAAAAACCUAGUUAAAAAACACCCGAGUUUCGUGAAGUUUACAAACUUCAAUAGCCUUGUCUUCUGGCCAUAAAUGAAGACUACACACGUAGUGGGCCAUUCUGACUGAUCUUUGGACGUGGGUUCGAUUCCCACCACCUCCACCA
Molecule: transfer-messenger RNA, 378 nt
Filed under: Bdellovibrionales bacterium
Lineage: Bacteria; Pseudomonadati; Bdellovibrionota; Bdellovibrionia; Bdellovibrionales
Rfam family: transfer-messenger RNA
About the family: Bacterial tmRNA, also known as 10Sa RNA or SsrA, is named for its dual tRNA and mRNA-like properties.
Source: RNAcentral